AUGGUGAUGAUGAAGAAGUUGGUGAUGACGAUGAAGAUGAUGAUGAUUAU
This 50-nucleotide small RNA is filed under the name Arabidopsis thaliana (thale cress). RNAcentral's name for it is "ATSL073840". Lineage: Eukaryota; Viridiplantae; Streptophyta; Magnoliopsida; Brassicales; Brassicaceae. The record is from RNAcentral.